GACGAACGCUGGCGGCGUGCUUAACACAUGCAAGUCGAACGGAAAGGCCCUGCUUGCAGGGUACUCGAGUGGCGAACGGGUGAGUAACACGUGGGUGAUCUGCCCUGCACUUCGGGAUAAGCUUGGUAAACUGGGUCUAAUACCGGAUAGGAGCCAUCUUUAGUGUGGUGGUUGGAAAGUUUUUUCGGUGUAGGAUGAGCUCGCGGCCUAUCAGCUUGUUGGUGGGGUAAUGGCCUACCAAGGCGGCGACGGGUAGCCGGCCUGAGAGGGUGUACGGCCACAUUGGGACUGAGAUACGGCCCAGACUCCUACGGGAGGCAGCAGUGGGGAAUAUUGCACAAUGGGCGCAAGCCUGAUGCAGCGACGCCGCGGGGGGGAUGAAGGCCUUCGGGUUGGAAACUCCUUUCGCUAGGGACGAAGCUUUUUGUGACGGUACCUAGAGAAGAAGCACCGGCUAACUACGUG
Molecule: ribosomal RNA, 465 nt
Filed under: uncultured bacterium
Lineage: Bacteria
Description: partial 16S ribosomal RNA
Rfam family: Bacterial small subunit ribosomal RNA
Source: RNAcentral